UACGUAGGUCCCCGAGCGUUGUCCGGAUUUAUUGGGCGUAAAGGGAGCGCAGGCGGUCAGGAAAGUCUGGAGUAAAAGGCUAUGGCUCAACCAUAGUGUGCUCUGGAAACUGUCUGACUUGAGUGCAGAAGGGGAGAGUGGAAUUCCAUGUGUAGCGGUGAAAUGCGUAGAUAUAUGGAGGAACACCAGUGGCGAAAGCGGCUCUCUGGUCUGUCACUGACGCUGAGGCUCGAAAGCGUGGGUAGCGAACAGGAUUAGAACCGUACCGUCGU
This 272-nucleotide ribosomal RNA is filed under the name uncultured bacterium. Its description in RNAcentral is "partial 16S ribosomal RNA". It matches the Rfam family "Bacterial small subunit ribosomal RNA", at positions 524 to 794 of the family's 1533-position model. The record is from RNAcentral.